Molecule: long non-coding RNA, 555 nt
Filed under: Ananas comosus (pineapple)
Lineage: Eukaryota; Viridiplantae; Streptophyta; Magnoliopsida; Poales; Bromeliaceae
Description: long non-coding RNA (ACOM_LNC016233)
Source: RNAcentral
AUAGUUUUUUUAAACUAAAAUCAAUUGAAUUUUACUAAAUUUUUAGUCUAGAUAGAGUUUAUUAAUUUUGAAAUAUUAGAGGGGUAAAGUUAGAAUUUAAAUACUAAUUAAUGUUAAUUUGGAUGGAAACUUGAUUGUAAGAUUAUUUUUGAAAGUUUUUCAAAUGUGGGGGUGUAUACAUGAUAUUUCAAUUUUUAGAUGACUAUUUAUGAAAUUAAAUGGUUUUAGAAGGGUAUAGAGGAAAUUGUCCCUUUUUUUUGGGUAAACUUCAAAUACCACCUCUGUGGUUUCGUACUUUCUCACUUUAGUAUCCUAUGGAUCAAGUUAGUGUUUUGUUGUUUUAUUUUUAUCUUUUCGUCAGUUUUUUCGUUAAUAUUUUGUUAAAUUAUAUACAAAAAACUUCAGAUACUCUACCUAUGUUUAUCAAAUAUUCACUUUAGUACCAUUUAGUUUUAACUUUGCCACUGAUUUAACGAAAAUAAUUAGUGAAAUCGAUAAUAAAAAGAUAAAAAUGAAACCACAGGACACUAAAUUGAUAUACUUUAAAUUAUGUAG